AGUGUAGUUCAGUGGUAGAGCUCUUAUCUGGCACUUCUGAAGCCCUGGGUUCAAUCCCCAGCACU
This 65-nucleotide transfer RNA is filed under the name Fukomys damarensis (Damara mole-rat). It matches the Rfam family "tRNA". Rfam says of the family: Transfer RNA (tRNA) molecules are approximately 80 nucleotides in length. Their secondary structure includes four short double-helical elements and three loops (D, anti-codon, and T loops). Further hydrogen bonds mediate the characteristic L-shaped molecular structure. tRNAs have two regions of fundamental functional importance: the anti-codon, which is responsible for specific mRNA codon recognition, and the 3' end, to which the tRNAs corresponding amino acid is attached (by aminoacyl-tRNA synthetases). tRNAs cope with the degeneracy of the genetic code in two manners: having more than one tRNA (with a specific anti-codon) for a particular amino acid; and 'wobble' base-pairing, i.e. permitting non-standard base-pairing at the 3rd anti-codon position. Lineage: Eukaryota; Metazoa; Chordata; Mammalia; Rodentia; Bathyergidae. The record is from Rfam by way of RNAcentral.